This 68-nucleotide transfer RNA is filed under the name Histiotus macrotus (big-eared brown bat). RNAcentral's name for it is "tRNA-Val". It matches the Rfam family "tRNA". From Rfam's summary of the family: Transfer RNA (tRNA) molecules are approximately 80 nucleotides in length. Their secondary structure includes four short double-helical elements and three loops (D, anti-codon, and T loops). Further hydrogen bonds mediate the characteristic L-shaped molecular structure. tRNAs have two regions of fundamental functional importance: the anti-codon, which is responsible for specific mRNA codon recognition, and the 3' end, to which the tRNAs corresponding amino acid is attached (by aminoacyl-tRNA synthetases). tRNAs cope with the degeneracy of the genetic code in two manners: having more than one tRNA (with a specific anti-codon) for a particular amino acid; and 'wobble' base-pairing, i.e. permitting non-standard base-pairing at the 3rd anti-codon position. The record is from RNAcentral. Lineage: Eukaryota; Metazoa; Chordata; Mammalia; Chiroptera; Vespertilionidae.
CAAAGUGUAGCUUAAGUAAAGCACCUAGUUUACACCUUAGGAGAUUUCAUAUAAACUGAACAUUUUGA